CGAGAGCCGGGAACGUAUUCACCGUGGCAUUCUGAUCCGCGAUUACUAGCGAUUCCGACUUCAUGGAGUCGAGUUGCAGACUCCAAUCCGGACUACGAUCGCACUUUUUGGGAUUCGCUCCACYUUCGCAAGUUGGCUGCCCUCUGUAUGCGACCAUUGUAGCACGUGUGUAGCCCUAUUCUCGUAAGGGCCAUGAUGACUUGACGUCGUCCCCACCUUCCUCCGGUUUAUCACCGGCAGUCUCCCUGGAGUKCCCGACAUUACUCGCUGGCAAACAAGGACAAGGGUUGCGCUCGUUGCGGGACUUAACCCAACAUUUCACAACACGAGCUGACGACAGCCAUGCAGCACCUGUCUCAGAUGUUCCCGAAGGCACCAAUCCAUCUCUGGAAAGUUCUCUGGAUGUCAAGCGUAGGUAAGGUUCUUCGCGUUGCAUCGAAUUAAACCACAUGCUCCACCGCUUGUGCGGGCCCCCGUCAAUUCAUUUGAGUUUUAAUCUUGCGACCGUACUCCCCAGGCGGUCUACUUAACGCGUUAGCUCCGAAAGCCACGAGCUCAAGGCUCACAACCUCCAAGUAUGACAUCGUUUACGGCGUGGACUACCAGGGUAUCUAAUCCUGGUUUGCUUCCCCCAACGCUUUUCGCAUCUGAGUGUCAAGGUAUCUGUCCAGGGGGCCGCCUUCGCCACCGGUAUUCCUUCAGAUCUCUACGCAUUUCACCGCUACACCUGAAAUUCUACCCCCCUCUAUUUUACUCUCCCGGUUGCCAGUUUCAAAUGCUAUUCCGAGGUUGAGCCCCGGGCUUUCACAUCUGACUUAAAACAAACCACCUGCAUGCGCGUUUACGCCCAGUAAUUCCGAUUAACGCUCGCACCCUCCGUAUUACCGCGGCUGCUGGCACGGAGUUAGCCGGUGCUUCUUCUGUCGCUAACGUCAAACAAACGCUAUUAACUCUCUGCCUUCCUCACGACUGAAAGUGCUUUACAACCCGAAGGCCUUUCUUCACACACGCGGCAUGGCUUGCAUCAGGCUUUGCGCCCCAUUGUGCAAUAUUCCCCACUGCUGCCUCCCGUAGGAGUCUUGGGACCGUGUCUCAGUUUCCAGUGGUGGGCUGAUCAUCCCUCUCAGACCAGCUAGGGGAUCGUCUGCCUUGGUGAAGCCCUUAUCCUCACCUAACUAGCUAAUCCCACCUAGGCAUAUCCUGCACGCGAGAGGCCCGAAGGUCCCCCUCUU
RNAcentral lists this ribosomal RNA (1232 nucleotides) under Vibrio sp. GIT-70. Its description in RNAcentral is "partial 16S ribosomal RNA". Lineage: Bacteria; Pseudomonadati; Pseudomonadota; Gammaproteobacteria; Vibrionales; Vibrionaceae. The record is from RNAcentral.